Molecule: transfer RNA, 72 nt
Filed under: Diaphorina citri (Asian citrus psyllid)
Lineage: Eukaryota; Metazoa; Arthropoda; Insecta; Hemiptera; Psyllidae
Rfam family: tRNA
About the family: Transfer RNA (tRNA) molecules are approximately 80 nucleotides in length. Their secondary structure includes four short double-helical elements and three loops (D, anti-codon, and T loops). Further hydrogen bonds mediate the characteristic L-shaped molecular structure. tRNAs have two regions of fundamental functional importance: the anti-codon, which is responsible for specific mRNA codon recognition, and the 3' end, to which the tRNAs corresponding amino acid is attached (by aminoacyl-tRNA synthetases). tRNAs cope with the degeneracy of the genetic code in two manners: having more than one tRNA (with a specific anti-codon) for a particular amino acid; and 'wobble' base-pairing, i.e. permitting non-standard base-pairing at the 3rd anti-codon position.
Source: Rfam by way of RNAcentral
GCUCCCAUGGCGUAGUGGUCACUGCACUCGCCUUGCACGCGGGAGACCUGGGUUCGAUUCCCGGCAGGGUCA